AUUGAACGCUGGCGGCAUGCCUUACACAUGCAAGUCGAACGGCAGCACGGGUGCUUGCACCUGGUGGCGAGUGGCGAACGGGUGAGUAAUACAUCGGAACGUACCUUAUCGUGGGGGAUAACGCAGCGAAAGCUGUGCUAAUACCGCAUACGCCCUGAGGGGGAAAGCGGGGGAUCGAAAGACCUCGCGCGAUUAGAGCGGCCGAUGCCUGAUUAGCUUGUUGGUGGGGUAAAAGCCCACCAAGGCGACGAUCAGUAGCUGGUCUGAGAGGACGAUCAGCCACCCUGGGACUGAGACACGGCCCAGACUCCUACGGGAGGCAGCAGUGGGGAAUUUUGGACAAUGGGGGAAACCCUGAUCCAGCAAUGCCGCGUGAGUGAAGAAGGCCUUCGGGUUGUAAAGCUCUUUUGUCAGGGAAGAAACACCGGCUCUAACACAGUCCGGGAAUGACGGUACCUGAAGAAUAAGCACCGGCUAACUACGUGCCAGCCGCCGCAGUAA
RNAcentral lists this ribosomal RNA (501 nucleotides) under uncultured bacterium. RNAcentral's name for it is "partial 16S ribosomal RNA". It matches the Rfam family "Bacterial small subunit ribosomal RNA", at positions 29 to 523 of the family's 1533-position model. The record is from RNAcentral.